GUUCCGUUGACAAGUCGGUCUUAUGUUUAUAUUUAUGGUUUUGAUUAUGUUUGUGGACUCCAAACACGUUAUGUUAAUGUAGCCUAUGUUUGGGCACUUUACAUUAUAAAUGUUAUGUUUAAAUGUAAAUAGCAUCUUGAGAGCCCAUAUGGUCACUCGAGAGUGUUAAGACAUGUAAAGGAUAUGGUGCACUAAGAAUGAGGCACUUAGAUGAUAUGUGAAUGUUGCACUUACACUGAUAUGUUAAGAAGUUCCAUAUGUGUAAUGUUGCAUAUGAUAGGAUGCAUGAGAUUAUUUGUAUACUUAUGAGGAUUAUGUAUGUUUUUGAAAUGAU
Molecule: long non-coding RNA, 334 nt
Filed under: Theobroma cacao (cacao)
Lineage: Eukaryota; Viridiplantae; Streptophyta; Magnoliopsida; Malvales; Malvaceae
Description: long non-coding RNA (TCAC_LNC004390)
Source: RNAcentral